Molecule: ribosomal RNA, 496 nt
Filed under: uncultured bacterium
Lineage: Bacteria
Description: partial 16S ribosomal RNA
Rfam family: Bacterial small subunit ribosomal RNA
Source: RNAcentral
AUGAACGCUGGCGGCGUGCCUAAUACAUGCACGUAGAACGCUGAAGGAAGGAGCUUGCUCUUUCCGGAUGAGUUGCGAACGGGUGAGUAACGCGUAGGUAACCUGCCUGGUAGCGGGGGAUAACUAUUGGAAACGAUAGCUAAUACCGCAUAACAGUAGAUGUUGCAUGAUAUCUACUUAAAAGGUGCAAUUGCACCACUACCAGAUGGACCUGCGUUGUAUUAGCUAGUUGGUGAGGUAACGGCUCACCAAGGCGACGAUACAUAGCCGACCUGAGAGGGUGAUCGGCCACACUGGGACUGAGACACGGCCCAGACUCCUACGGGAGGCAGCAGUAGGGAAUCUUCGGCAAUGGACGGAAGUCUGGCCGAGCAACGCCGCGUGAGUGAAGAAGGUUUUCGGAUCGUAAAGCUCUGUUGUAAGAGAAGAACGAGUGUGAGAGUGGAAAGUUCACACUGUGACGGUAUCUUACCAGAAAGGGACGGCUAACUACGUG